AGGAAGGAGAGGAAGUGAAGUUGCUGGAGGCAUCAGAGGCCAGGCCCUGGUUCUCUCUCCCAUAGCAGCACCAACACGUAGAGACCAUAUUUGUCUGAAGACACCUUCUCCGCUUUUUAUUUUCCUAUACCCUGUCAGAUCCACACAGCCCUGGGAGGAGCUUAGACCACUACAUGAAAUGAAUCACAGACGCAGAGUGUGCACGCAUGUGCUUGGUGUGCAUUCAGAUAGGUAACUACGCGAGAGCGUGCCUGCAAAUGCCCGCGUGCACAAGAAUGUGGGCCACAGUGGAACGGUACACUGGGGGAAGAAGCCACAGAGGAGGACGUGGAGCCUCAGAGGGAGUAAGUGACCUGCCCAGGCUCCCACAGUGAGCACAUGGACUGAGGGCAGCUACCCACUCUCUGCCCAGAAGCAGCAAAUCACCUCCUUUGGGCCACCCUCCAUUGAGGGCAUCCCCAGGUCAAAACCCUCCUCCUCCCUCCAGCAAAAGGGAGCCCCAGCAUCUACCUGUCUCCCCAA
Homo sapiens (human) is the source of this 522-nucleotide long non-coding RNA. RefSeq lists it as uncharacterized. The transcript is spliced from 3 exons. The record is from RefSeq and is a predicted model, not a curated record. NCBI's taxonomy places the organism in Eukaryota, Metazoa, Chordata, Mammalia, Primates, Hominidae.